GACGAACGCUGGCGGCGUGCUUAACACAUGCAAGUCGAACGGAAAGGCCCCCUUGUUGGGUACUCGAGUGGCGAACGGGUGAGUAACACGUGAGUAACCUACCCUUGACGUUGGGAUAACUUCAUGAAACUGGGGCUAAUACCGGAUAGGAGCUGCUGCUGCAUGGUGGUGGGUGGAAAGUUUCGGCGGUUGGGGGUGGACUCGCGGCUUAUCAGCUUGUUGGUGGGGUAGUGGCUCACCAAGGCUUUGACGGGUAGCCGGCCUGAGAGGGUGACCGGCCACAUUGGGACUGAGAUACGGCCCAGACUCCUACGGGAGGCAGCAGUGGGGAAUAUUGCACAAUGGGCGGAAGCCUGAUGCAGCAACGCCGCGUGCGGGAUGACGGCCUUCGGGUUGUAAACCGCUUUCGCCUGUGACGAAGCGUGAGUGACGGUAAUGGGUAAAGAAGCACCGGCUAACUACGUG
RNAcentral lists this ribosomal RNA (465 nucleotides) under uncultured bacterium. RNAcentral describes it as "partial 16S ribosomal RNA". It matches the Rfam family "Bacterial small subunit ribosomal RNA", at positions 28 to 507 of the family's 1533-position model. The record is from RNAcentral.